AUUGAACGCUGGCGGCAGGCUUAACACAUGCAAGUCGAGCGGAGCGAGGGUGCUUGCACCUUAGCUUAGCGGCGGACGGGUGAGUAAUGCUUAGGAAUCUGCCUAUUAGUGGGGGACAACAUUCUGGAAGGAAUGCUAAUACCGCAUACGCCCUACGGGGGAAAGCAGGGGAUCUUCGGACCUUGCGCUAAUAGAUGAGCCUAAGUCGGAUUAGCUAGUUGGUGGGGUAAAGGCCUACCAAGGCGACGAUCUGUAGCGGGUCUGAGAGGAUGAUCCGCCACACUGGGACUGAGACACGGCCCAGACUCCUACGGGAGGCAGCAGUGGGGAAUAUUGGACAAUGGGCGGAAGCCUGAUCCAGCCAUGCCGCGUGUGUGAAGAAGGCCUUUUGGUUGUAAAGCACUUUAAGCGAGGAGGAGGCUACUUAGAUUAAUACUCUGGGAUAGUGGACGUUACUCGCAGAAUAAGCACCGGCUAACUCUGUGCCAGCCGCCGCAGUAA
Molecule: ribosomal RNA, 501 nt
Filed under: uncultured bacterium
Lineage: Bacteria
Description: partial 16S ribosomal RNA
Rfam family: Bacterial small subunit ribosomal RNA
Source: RNAcentral